Molecule: non-coding RNA, 219 nt
Organism: Paramuricea clavata
Lineage: Eukaryota; Metazoa; Cnidaria; Anthozoa; Malacalcyonacea; Plexauridae
Source: the annotation of a GenBank genome assembly
AUCAGAUUAACCGUAACUCGUUUACAUCUUUCAAACGUUGGGGCUUAAUUAGUCGAAGAACAAAAUGUUUGACUUUGCUCGAGUUAAUCCCCUAUUUUUUAGAGGGCUUACAUGUAAUUAAGUACCUAAAUCCAGUUAUGUACUUCGAGUUAAGCUCUCAACGGAAAUGGGUGUGUCAUGGGCGUGGUCAUGGCUUAACUCGAAAGGGCGUGGUUGGGA